Brienomyrus brachyistius is the source of this 1543-nucleotide long non-coding RNA. RefSeq lists it as uncharacterized. The transcript has 2 exons. Lineage: Eukaryota; Metazoa; Chordata; Actinopteri; Osteoglossiformes; Mormyridae. The record is from RefSeq and is a predicted model, not a curated record.
CAAGUUUCCACAAGGCAGAUAUAGAGACGCGAGGAUAAAAUAGAGGUAGAACCCGGGAAGCAAAGCCAGAAUAUACAAUAGUGCUGCGACGAUUCUCUGGUUAUAACACAAUAUCUAUAAUAUCUAUUUUUCUUAACCGAAAUAAUACGAAUAGUGUCACUGUUUCUUGCAAAGAGAAACAGCAUAUUUCUCUUCUCUGGAACUCAAAAGGAAACGGAGGGUGCCGGGGAGCCUACAUCCCAGCCAUAUAUCAUCUGCGCUUCUUGUUUCCUCCCCGUGUCACAUGGGUAUUCCGACUUCCUCCUGCAGUCGUCUUCUUAGAUUAACUAGUCUCUAAAUUGCCCAUAUUGUAUGACUGUGUGAGUGCAUACCCUAUGAUGGACUGGCAUCCCAUCCAGGGUGUACCCCAGCCUUGUGAUGGACUGGCAUCCUGCCCAGGGUGAACCCCAACCCUGUGAUGGACUGGCUUCCCGUCCAGGGUGUACUCCAGCUUUGUGCCAUGUGAUGGAGUGGCAUCUCGUCCAGGCUAUAUCCCAACCCUGUGAUGGACUGGCAUCCUGCCCAGGGUGAACCCUAGCCCUGUGAUGGACUGGCAUCCUGCCCAGGGUGAACCCUAGCCCUGUGAUGGACUGGCAUCCAGUCCAGGUUGUAUCCCAACCCUGUGAUGGACUGGCAUCCUGUCCACGGUGUCCCCCAGCUCUUUGAUGGACUAGCAUUCCGCCCAGGGUGUUCCCCAGCCCCAUGCCCGGUGAGAUACUGGCAUCCCGCUCAGAGUGUACCCCCAGCCCUGUGAUGGACUGGCAUCCCACCCAAAGUGAACCCCAGCCCUGUGAUGGACUGGCAUCCCGCCCAGGGUGUCCCCCAGCCCUGUGAUGGACUGGCAUCCAGUCCAGGUUGUAUCCCAACCCUGUGAUGGACUGGCAUCCAGUCUAGGUUGUAUCCCAACCCUGUGAUGGACUGGCAUCCUGCCCACGGUGAACCCCCAGCCCUGUGAUGGACUGGCAUCCCGUCCAGGGUGUACCCCAGCCCCGUGCCCGGUGAUGGACUGGCAUCCUGCCCAGGGUGUUCCCCAGCCCCGUGCCCAGUGAGGUACUGGCAUCCCACCCAGGGUGUCCCCCAGCCCUGUGAUGGACUGGCAUCCCGCCCAGGGUGUACCCCAGCCCUGUGAUGGACUGGCACCCCGCCCAGGGUGUCCCCCAGCCCUGUGAUGGACUGGCAUCCCGCCCAGGGUGUACCCCAGCCCUGUGAUGGACUGGCACCCCGCCAAGGGUGUCCCCCAGCCCUGUGAUGGACUGGCAUCCCGCCCAGGGUGUACCCCAGCCCUGUGAUGGACUGGCAUCCAGCCCAGGGUGUCCCCCAGCCCUGUGCUGGCUGGGACUGGGUACCCCCCCCCAUAAAAAAAACACUGACUAGAAUAAAUAAUGGAAGGAUAGAUGGAUUUUUAAUAAUAAAUCUGGAAAUAAUACAAGUCACUGCAUGUUCUACAGACGCGCCGCACUAUGUAACUUCUGCCUGCUAAAUAAAGCCAUGAAGAUCAAGCUUG